GGCGGUAUAGCUCAGCUGGUAGAGCAACGGAAUCAUAAUCCGUGUGUCCCUGGUUCGAGUCCAGGUGCCGCUA
Molecule: transfer RNA, 73 nt
Rfam family: tRNA
About the family: Transfer RNA (tRNA) molecules are approximately 80 nucleotides in length. Their secondary structure includes four short double-helical elements and three loops (D, anti-codon, and T loops).
Source: Rfam